GCAAGGGACUGAAGAGAAGUGGAUUUAGAAUGUUAUGCACACUGUUCCUUGUCAUUGUAGAAGUGGAGGUGGUGCUUGAAAGUUUGUUUUCUGAGACUUGAAUGCAGAAGAGGAGAUAUGGAAGAGGUUAUUACAAACUAUUGAGUAGAUUUCCAUGUGCUAUAAGCUUUGCCACAAUUUGCCUGAUGUCAUCACCAGCUGAUUGGAUGGAAUCCCAGCUUUUACCUCAGAGGAAUGUUUGCAGACAUCAGCUUCCACAAGUGUAGAAGAAGAGAGAUGGACGAUCGAGAGGGAAAAGAAAGAAGGAGAAUUGGUUCCAGUCGAGGGAAGCUGGCCUCCUGCUAGAGCCACAGGUCAUGUGCACCAUCAGCACAUUCAGCAUAGCACACAGGGCUUCCAGCAGCAGUUGUCGCCUGUGCAGACAGCCCUUCACAGUCUCAAGUGCUGAUGGAUAAUUGUCAGGCAGAUUAUAGAUAAGGAAGAAAGUAUGAGGCCAGUGGCUUUCUGUGGACCAGUCGUAGCUGGCUGGUCAGGCAACCAGAUUGCUGGAAUCACAGUGCACACACCGAUAAGCCCCUUAAUUCCAAAGGAUGCUGGCUGCUGGGCGCUGGCCACAUCAUGUACAGAGGGAAGUUGCUCCCAAAGCCCCUCUCCCAGGAAGGACAGGAGGAUAGGAAGGGAGCUCCUGGGUGUGGGGACUCGGCUGUAUCAGCCAUCACCUCCCACAGUGUAGACUUCAAUCUCUUCUCCUUUGCUGUGAUUUUACACAGACUCAUUUAUCUUCAUUUUAAUAAAAGAUGCUGUUAUCUCAUGCCCCCACCUCUUAACAUUUCUUUGCUUUGCAGUGAAACUUUUCCAAAGGAUUUCCUGGGACCGCCUGCCUCUAUUUCUUCAAUUCACAAUAUACCUGGGUUCUAUCCCCAGCCCACGCCCCUUCAUGGUUGCUGCUUUUUGACACCUAUAUCUUACCGGAGGUGCCCACAGUCUUUGACCUUACCCACCAUAUUUCCAGUUUAGAAUGCUCACUUUCUUAACAUCUGUGAUACUUGCCUCUGGGGCCUGCCCCCUCCAUCAGACCCUGCAGCCCCCUCCAUCAGACCCUGCAGCUGCAUGAAGCAAGGAAGAACAGUCUUCAUUCAAUACUCAUGGCACCUGGCAGUGUCUGAAUCAUAGUGAAACCCCCUGGAGGAAGGAACGAGUGAACACCUAGAUUCUUCCAGGUGGAAGACCUGGAUUCCAUUCUCUGAGAGGCGAUAACGUUUUGAACAGAAGCAGGGGACUGUGUCAUGCCUUAAAUUCCCCUGGACAGCAUCCAAGCUCUUAAAAUUUUAGUUGGAAAUCUUCAAAAUGCUUUGUGAAAAGCGGAUCCUGGUUCUGUGACUCUCCUGAGUAAUAGGAAGUAGAUUUCGUCAAUUCUGGAAGCGCCAUGGCUAAGAGCCACGCUUGGGAAUCAGAGGAGAAGGUUUUAACCUCAGCUCCUCCAAGUAGUUGAUGGUGACCUAGACAAAGGAGAGGAGCCCGGCUCUCACAUCUGUUAUUGGUGAAAGUAACAUCCACCUGCAAAUACUGACAUAAUACCCACCUGCUAUUAUUAAGCUCAAUGACAUGAGAUUGUGUACACCCAAUUUUUCUCUCCUGUGACAUGUGAGUCCCUAAAAGAUUAUGACGCUAUGAACAAUCAUGUAAUAAGAACCACAGAGCUCAAGGGAAAAACAGAGUUAUUGGUACAACCCUCAAACCCUUCGUCACUGACGCAUUUAGAGAAAAACAGAUAGGAACUUAAUAAAAACGGUGGCGCAGUUUUACACAUCGAAUGUGACUCAGAAAUAAAGGACUUUAAUACAUCUGGCUUUUGACCUUGAAAAAAACCUGAAUUUUGUAUAUCCUGAGGGAUGGAGAACUGGGGAACAAGAGGCGGGUUCAGGAUGCAAAGUCCUAAUGCAGCAUGUGGAUGGGAGCGUAUGGCUCAUGACACAGGUCAUGGGCUGGGUAGCUGGUAGAUGCCUAAGGUGUGUUUCAUUGCAUUUUGCAUAUUUCUGUAUAUCUCUGUUCAUGUGGAUGCAGUUUCCUUUGUUUAUAUGGCCUUUCCUGUGGACACAAUUCCGCUAAGCAAACCCAGAAUCUCUGUUAUGCUCGAGCUGUUCCGUGAUCUAUCGACUGUGCUGGAAGACAUUCGUGUGGUAAAAAUAAGUCUUGCAUCAGAACUGGCAGUGAGGAAAGCACUCGAUGCCCCAGGCCUGCAGUAAACAUCCAAUAAGUGGCUGCCAUUUCCCUUUCUUUUACUUUCCCGUAAAGUCCGAUCUUCUCAAGGACAGGCACUGGGUGUUGUCUGCCUUUGUGCCCCCAGUGACUGGUACCCAUUAGCCACUCAGUCAGUACCUCUGCGGCAGGGGCUGCUGUGCUUGACAGAGGCUCAACCAAAACAGAAAAUGCAGCAACUCCGCCGACUAAUGACCCAUAGCUUGAGCGGGCCCACAUCCGGCUGACUUAAGGCUGAACCCCAAGUAGUGACCUCGCCGGGAGCUGGCCCUGCAGGUGGAGAGACGAGGAAUUCUCACAGUAGGACGUGGAGGGCGCUAGGCAAGAGAAGUGUCCAUGAAGUGGCUCCCCAGGGGACAACGAGACAUUUCAGAGACCUGACAGUGUCACAAAUCUGGUAAAGGCCAGAUCCAGGACUUGAUCUUGGGCAGAACUGGCUCCAAGCCUUUUCUUUCCUGUCACCAUGUACCAACGCCUAUGACAAAAUCAGUCCUAUUGACAAGGUGGAAGAAAAAGGAGCUCAGAGAAGGAAGGUGACUUGCACAAGGACACACAGGAGGAGGUGCAGGAUCACUAGCUCUGUGCGCCUCCGUUAGAGCAGGGCCAGGGGAGUACCUGCUGCCUGACCUGCAGGGUGGCAGACAGUGUACGAGGGAGUGGACACUUGACAUUCGCGCUGCUGGCUGUUGGCAGAGGGGCCCUCACAGUUAUCAGGGAAUAACAUCGCUCUGCUCUUCCACUAAUAGAAGCGUAAAUAUGGCCCUUCUCUGCCGUGAGCAAUUUCCUUGGCUCUGCUGACAUAAUGGGAAAUAUCCUCAGUGAGAAAAUUAACUAUUGGUGUCACAGGGCUAUAAGAGCAACAAAGAGCAUCGCACCCUUCAUGGCCACCCCCUCCUCCAGCAUCUCCAUCUUUCUUCAGGCUGGCGUGGAGCCCUGCACAGCGGCCCAGGAUCCCAGCUCUGAAAGGAGAGAUCUUUGAAAUGUCUGAGACUCAGUUUUGUAAGAUGAGUCACGCAUUCACUGAUUCGACACAUUACUCUUUGAAACAGCAUGAGGUUUUACUGAGAGCUCUGGACUCCCAUUUUGGAGCUCAAGUCUGGGCUCUGCCUCCUAGUCGCUGUGAACCUGGGGAGGUUCCUUCAUCCCUCUGAGCUCCUGGUUCCUCUGGACCUGUUUCUUCAUCCCUAAAAUGAAGAUCGUCAUGUCAGCAUCCUCCUGAAAAUACCUCCUUUACAGGCUUCUACUGAGGAUGCAGUGUGGCGGCACCUGAGUCUAGUGCAAACAGCUUUCGGACACUCAACAACGUGAUUGUGUAUUCAUUCCUGGGGGGACGGGUCCCAGAGCUAGUGCUCAAGGAUGAAGAAGCAGCAGUAGGGACAGCCCCGUCCUUGUGGGGUCCAUUCUUGGGCACAAGAAGCCAUGUGCCUGACUCCCCAGCCUGUAUCUCAGAGCAGAGUCACCUUUUCGAGUGUGAAGGGUGUUUUCAAAAGUCUGUUAUUUAGUAUCCAAGUAUUGAAAAGAAUACAAGACUGUUGGGUAUUAAUAAAAAUUUAAAA
Molecule: non-coding RNA, 3815 nt
Organism: Sus scrofa (pig)
Lineage: Eukaryota; Metazoa; Chordata; Mammalia; Artiodactyla; Suidae
Source: RefSeq, a predicted model, not a curated record